Lotus japonicus is the source of this 1461-nucleotide long non-coding RNA. RefSeq lists it as uncharacterized. NCBI's taxonomy places the organism in Eukaryota, Viridiplantae, Streptophyta, Magnoliopsida, Fabales, Fabaceae. The record is from RefSeq and is a predicted model, not a curated record. The transcript has 2 exons.
UUCCUCUCUUUCCUUCCAGAAUCAUCAUAUAACUCUUUUAAAACGUUUUUAGAAAAGAUUUGAGCACUUAAACACAUGAAAUCAUGAAAAUCUAAAAUCAAGAUGUUCUUGAAGUUGGUGGCUUCGAAAAUGGUAUUUCCAGGACCCUAAGAUCAUGCUUGAAUGCUUCUGAGACUUCCUAAGGAUGAUAUAAGGAUGAUUGAAUGGUUGGUUUGGAGUUUUGGACAAGUUUGGACAAAAAUGGAAUUUUAGGGACCAAAAUAGGAAUAAUGAAUUGUUCAAAGACCUUAAUGCAAUUAUAAAAUUGAGCAAGGACUAUGGUAAUUCAUGAUUAACUUCCAGAGGCUUAAAUAAAAUUAAUUUGGUAUUUUUUUCAAGCUUUGGAUAAUUUUGUUGCUUUAUUUUGUUAAUUAAACAUGUCUUUUUAAGCCUUAUAAUUAAUUGUUUAUGUUUAAAAUUGCUUAUAACAUGUUUAGAAUUGAUCACCUAGCUUAAUAUGAUUCUUAUAAAUAUUUGAUGGGUUAAGUUUAAUUUUUGAGCAAUUUAAUUAAUUAUUUACUAAUUUUUAUCACUUUAAAGGUUUAUUUAAUUGUGAAAUUAAUUAAUAUUUAAUGAAAUAAAUUAUUUUAUUAUUCAGAAUAUAUUAUGGCUUAUGUGAACCAAGUUUUGUUAAUUUAAAUGUUGUAAUAAAGAAAUUAAGGUAUUUUAAGGUUAAAAUUGGACUAAGGGCAAAAUGGUCAUUUCACAUACUUAUAUCAUUGCUGCUGAAAUAAUCAAGUUUAAAUGAACUUAGUUGAUAUAUGAUUUUAUAAUCAAGUAAUCUUUAUGUGUUAAGCUUAAAUUAUCAAUUAACGUAAUUGUUUUUGAUUAAAGGAAUUAAUUAUGUAAACAAGGGUAAAACGGUAAUUUCACCUAGAAAGCUUAAAAUCAGCAACUCAUGUUACAUUAAUGGUUUCUCUAUUGGACUAUGAAGUAUUGGACUUGGAUUCGACUUAGAAAGGGUUUAGGUACCUGAGACUGAAACUGAGACUUGAGACUGUAAUUCUUGGACGUCGGAUGAUUUAAUUUACGACAAAACUUCUUUUAUGAAUAAGGACUUAAUUUCCACGAGUUUUAUACGUUAUAUAUUUUAUCUCUAUUAUUUUGACGAAUUUUGAUAGUAGAGUAUAUUUAUAUUAUCGUGCAGAAACUUUCGACGUUUAUCGGUUUAAUCUGCAAAUAACAAACGGUACUAAGGAGAAUACCCCUAGUUCGGAGGAGUAUUAAGUAUGCUAGGAUUGUCUUUGAGCUUUGUGAAGUCUUGAAAUAAAUCGGGUUUCGUUUUCCCGCUUUUGAACUCUAUGGUAUUAUGUUGAAUAAUAUUGUAAUAUAUUCGAACUCGCUACGAGCUUAUGUAAUAUUAUUAAGGGUUGGGUAUUAAUGUAAUAUAUGCCAGUAAGUCAGAAGUACUUGCUUUCUCGA